Molecule: ribosomal RNA, 622 nt
Filed under: Propionibacteriaceae bacterium Se1Pw_3188
Lineage: Bacteria; Bacillati; Actinomycetota; Actinomycetes; Propionibacteriales; Propionibacteriaceae
Description: bacterial SSU rRNA
Rfam family: Bacterial small subunit ribosomal RNA
Source: RNAcentral
GCAGCAACGCCGCGUGCGGGAUGACGGCCUUCGGGUUGUAAACCGCUUUCAGCAGGGACGAAGCAACACGUGACGGUACCUGCAGAAGAAGCACCGGCCAACUACGUGCCAGCAGCCGCGGUGAUACGUAGGGUGCGAGCGUUGUCCGGAAUUAUUGGGCGUAAAGAGCUUGUAGGCGGUCUAUUGCGUCGAAAGUGAAAACUCAGGGCUCAACCCUGAGCCUGCUCUCGAUACGGGUAGACUUGAGGGAUGUAGGGGAGAACGGAAUUCUUGGUGGAGCGGUGGAAUGCGCAGAUAUCAGGAGGAACACCGGUGGCGAAGGCGGUUCUCUGGACAUUUCCUGACGCUGAGAAGCGAAAGCGUGGGUAGCAAACAGGCUUAGAUACCCUGGUAGUCCACGCCGUAAACGGUGGGUACUAGGUGUGGGGGACAUUCCACGUUCUCCGUGCCGCAGCUAACGCAUUAAGUACCCCGCCUGGGGAGUACGGCCGCAAGGCUAAAACUCAAAGGAAUUGACGGGGCCCCGCACAAGCGGCGGAGCAUGCGGAUUAAUUCGAUGCAACGCGAAGAACCUUACCUGGGUUUGACAUAUGCCGGAAAGGCCUAGAGAUAGGUCCCCCCU